Molecule: unclassified non-coding RNA, 200 nt
Filed under: Spirosphaera sp.
Lineage: Eukaryota; Fungi; Ascomycota; Leotiomycetes; Helotiales
Description: partial internal transcribed spacer 2
Source: RNAcentral
UUAAGUUCAGCGGGUAUCCCUACCUGAUCCGAGGCCAUGCUUUCGUAGACAGGCCGCCCGCCAGGACCUCUCGCCGCAUUUCUCUGCGUUUCGAAGCCGCGACGGGCGCCGAUGUGUUUCGAAGGACCCCUCGCGGGGAACCUCAACGCAAGGCAGAGCCUCAGACACAAACGGCGCUCGAACAGGUAUACCUCAAGGAU